UUUAAGUGCAACCACAACUUUGAUCGUUCAUCUUAUUUAAUUUUUUUUAUAAUUAAUACUUUUAUUGUUAUGAGAUGAUAAAAUAUGAAUAGUACUUUAUACAUGACUUAUGUUUUUAAUUUUUUUUAAAUAAGACGAAUAAUUAAAAUUGUAUACGAAAAAUCAUACUUGUGACGGAG
Molecule: non-coding RNA, 179 nt
Organism: Oryza glaberrima (African rice)
Lineage: Eukaryota; Viridiplantae; Streptophyta; Magnoliopsida; Poales; Poaceae
Source: Rfam